Long non-coding RNA from Acipenser ruthenus (sterlet), 409 nucleotides. RefSeq lists it as uncharacterized. The transcript is spliced from 4 exons. The record is from RefSeq and is a predicted model, not a curated record. NCBI's taxonomy places the organism in Eukaryota, Metazoa, Chordata, Actinopteri, Acipenseriformes, Acipenseridae.
CUUCACGCAGCGAGCACCGUGUUGCUGUUCAGCUGGUACCCGUGUGUUCAUCCGGUCUUUUCUCACGAGUCCAAGUAUUAACCCUGUCUACGGACUGUGACUUCAGCUGUGAUAGAGACUGCAUCAUAUCCUGCCAAGGAGGCUAUUAUUACACUUCAGGAAACUGCUUGGAAUGUCCUGUGGGAUUUUACUGUUCAGGGGAAGGAACAUCUGCCCCAAGAAAAUGUCCACCUGGUACCCAUAACUACUUCACCGGGAAAGCGGAUGUAAAAGCAUGCCUGCCUUGCCCUCCAGGCUCCAUCAGUACAGAGGAGGGAGCAGCCUGCAAGCCGUGCCCAGCCGGUACCUCCUGUGAUCCGGGUUCCGGUGAGCUGAGGGCCUGCCCCCAGGGGCAGCACUCACCCGAGGG